This 497-nucleotide ribosomal RNA is filed under the name uncultured bacterium. RNAcentral's name for it is "partial 16S ribosomal RNA". It matches the Rfam family "Bacterial small subunit ribosomal RNA", at positions 28 to 507 of the family's 1533-position model. The record is from RNAcentral.
GAUGAACGCUGGCGGCGUGCCUAAUACAUGCAAGUCGAGCGAACAGACGAGGAGCUUGCUCCUCUGACGUUAGCGGCGGACGGGUGAGUAAAACGUGGAUAACCUACCUAUAAGACUGGGAUAACUUCGGGAAACCGGAGCUAAUACCGGAUAAUAUAUUAAACCGCAUGGUUCAAUAGUGAAAGACGGUUUUGCUGUCACUUAUAGAUGGAUCCGCGCCGCAUUAGCUAGUUGGUAAGGUAACGGCUUACCAAGGCAACGAUGCGUAGCCGACCUGAGAGGGUGAUCGGCCACACUGGAACUGAGACACGGUCCAGACUCCUACGGGAGGCAGCAGUAGGGAAUCUUCCGCAAUGGGCGAAAGCCUGACGGAGCAACGCCGCGUGAGUGAUGAAGGUCUUCGGAUCGUAAAACUCUGUUAUUAGGGAAGAACAAAUGUGUAAGUAACUAUGCACGUCUUGACGGUACCUAAUCAGAAAGCCACGGCUAACUACGUG